ACGACUGUAGCUCAGCUGGUUAGAGCACUACCUUGACAUGGUAGGGGUCGGUGGUUCGAAUCCACUCAGUCGUACCA
RNAcentral lists this transfer RNA (77 nucleotides) under Pseudoalteromonas distincta. RNAcentral's name for it is "tRNA-Val". It matches the Rfam family "tRNA". Rfam says of the family: Transfer RNA (tRNA) molecules are approximately 80 nucleotides in length. Lineage: Bacteria; Pseudomonadati; Pseudomonadota; Gammaproteobacteria; Alteromonadales; Pseudoalteromonadaceae. RNAcentral also lists the same sequence under 3 other names. The record is from RNAcentral.